This 27-nucleotide non-coding RNA is filed under the name Mus musculus (house mouse). The record is from RNAcentral. Lineage: Eukaryota; Metazoa; Chordata; Mammalia; Rodentia; Muridae.
UGGGUCAGUCAUCUUAUGCAUGCCGGU